RNAcentral lists this non-coding RNA (30 nucleotides) under Mus musculus (house mouse). Lineage: Eukaryota; Metazoa; Chordata; Mammalia; Rodentia; Muridae. The record is from RNAcentral.
UGGUUCAGGCAUUCUUUAAGGAACUAAGUC